RNAcentral lists this transfer RNA (70 nucleotides) under Loxodonta africana (African savanna elephant). It matches the Rfam family "tRNA". From Rfam's summary of the family: Transfer RNA (tRNA) molecules are approximately 80 nucleotides in length. The record is from Rfam by way of RNAcentral. Lineage: Eukaryota; Metazoa; Chordata; Mammalia; Proboscidea; Elephantidae.
GUGUUGGUGGUUCAGUGUAGAAUUCUCACCUUCCAUGCGGGAGACCAGGGUUCAAUUCCAUGCCAAUACA